RNAcentral lists this small nuclear RNA (19 nucleotides) under Arabidopsis thaliana (thale cress). RNAcentral describes it as "snRNA_07895". The record is from RNAcentral. Lineage: Eukaryota; Viridiplantae; Streptophyta; Magnoliopsida; Brassicales; Brassicaceae.
AAAAUAUGUGUGCUUUUAA